RNAcentral lists this ribosomal RNA (710 nucleotides) under Phaeobacter sp. RNAcentral's name for it is "bacterial SSU rRNA". It matches the Rfam family "Bacterial small subunit ribosomal RNA", at positions 37 to 795 of the family's 1533-position model. The record is from RNAcentral. Lineage: Bacteria; Pseudomonadati; Pseudomonadota; Alphaproteobacteria; Rhodobacterales; Roseobacteraceae.
CGGCGGCAGCUUACACAUGCAAGUCGAGCGCACUCUUCGGAGUGAGCGGCGGACGGGUUAGUAACGCGUGGGAACGUGCCCUUCUCUAAGGAAUAGCCACUGGAAACGGUGAGUAAUACCUUAUACGCCCUUCGGGGGAAAGAUUUAUCGGAGAAGGAUCGGCCCGCGUUAGAUUAGAUAGUUGGUGGGGUAAUGGCCUACCAAGUCUACGAUCUAUAGCUGGUUUUAGAGGAUGAUCAGCAACACUGGGACUGAGACACGGCCCAGACUCCUACGGGAGGCAGCAGUGGGGAAUCUUGGACAAUGGGCGCAAGCCUGAUCCAGCCAUGCCGCGUGAGUGAUGAAGGCCUUAGGGUCGUAAAGCUCUUUCGCCAGAGAUGAUAAUGACAGUAUCUGGUAAAGAAACCCCGGCUAACUCCGUGCCAGCAGCCGCGGUAAUACGGAGGGGGUUAGCGUUGUUCGGAAUUACUGGGCGUAAAGCGCACGUAGGCGGAUCAGAAAGUAUAGGGUGAAAUCCCAGGGCUCAACCCUGGAACUGCCUUGUAAACUCCUGGUCUUGAGUUCGAGAGAGGUGAGUGGAAUUCCGAGUGUAGAGGUGAAAUUCGUAGAUAUUCGGAGGAACACCAGUGGCGAAGGCGGCUCACUGGCUCGAUACUGACGCUGAGGUGCGAAAGUGUGGGGAGCAAACAGGAUUAGAUACCCUGGUAGUC